CCCAGACUCCUACGGGAGGCAGCAGUGAGGAAUAUUGGUCAAUGGACGGAAGUCUGAACCAGCCAUGCCGCGUGCAGGAAGACGGCUCUAUGAGUUGUAAACUGCUUUUGUACAAGGGUAAACCUGAAUACGUGUAUUCAGCUGAAAGUACUGUACGAAUAAGGAUCGGCUAACUCCGUGCCAGCAGCCGCGGUAAUACGGAGGAUCCAAGCGUUAUCCGGAUUUAUUGGGUUUAAAGGGUGCGUAGGUGGAGUGAUAAAUUAGAGGUGAAAUGUCCGAGGUCAACUCGGGGACUGCGCCUAAUAAUGUUGAUCUAGAGAGUAGAUGCGGUAGGCGGAAUGUGUGGUGUAGAGGUGAAAUGCUUAGAGAUCAUACAGAACACCGAUUGCGCAGGCGGCGUA
This 401-nucleotide ribosomal RNA is filed under the name uncultured bacterium. RNAcentral's name for it is "bacterial SSU rRNA". It matches the Rfam family "Bacterial small subunit ribosomal RNA", at positions 330 to 728 of the family's 1533-position model. The record is from RNAcentral.